UCUACUGGCCAUACUACUCUGAACACACUCAAUCCCAUCUGAUCUCUGAAGGAUAGGAGAGGAAGUGGAGAGUUGAAUGGAAUAUAAAAAAGUGGAAGACACCAAGUGUAGAC
This is a ribosomal RNA of Panthera pardus (leopard), 113 nucleotides long. NCBI's taxonomy places the organism in Eukaryota, Metazoa, Chordata, Mammalia, Carnivora, Felidae. The record is from Ensembl.